This 470-nucleotide ribosomal RNA is filed under the name uncultured bacterium. RNAcentral describes it as "bacterial SSU rRNA". It matches the Rfam family "Bacterial small subunit ribosomal RNA", at positions 335 to 797 of the family's 1533-position model. The record is from RNAcentral.
UACCUACGGGGGGCAGCAGUGGGGAAUAUUGGACAAUGGGGGGAACCCUGAUCCAGCAAUGCCGCGUGUGUGAAGAAGGCCUGAGGGUUGUAAAGCACUUUCAGUGGGGAGGAGGGAUGAUAGGUUAAGAGCUAAUUAUCUGGACGUUACCCACAGAAGAAGCACCGGCUAACUCCGUGCCAGCAGCCGCGGUAAUACGGAGGGUGCGAGCGUUAAUCGGAAUUACUGGGCGUAAAGGGUGCGUAGGUGGUUUAGUAAGUUAUCUGUGAAAUUCCUGGGCUCAACCUAGGGUGGUCAGAUAAGACUGCUGGACUAAGAGUAUAGGAGAGGGUAGUGGAAUUUCCGGUGUAGCGGUGAAAUGCGUAGAGAUCGGAAGGAACACCAGUGGCGAAGGCGGCUACCUGGCCUAAUACUGACACUGAGGCACGAAAGCGUGGGGAGCAAACAGGAUUAGAUACCCGGGUAGUCAA